GGGAUCUGGGUUGAAUAUACUAGAUUCGUGAUGCAGUUAGUUUUUAAUUUGGAUCGUAUUAUGGAUUGAUAGGUUCUUGUAUUUUACUAGCUUUUAGAGAUACUUGAAGUCAUUGGUAGUGGUAGAUCGGGGCCUCCUGAUGAUGAUCUUAUCAUUGUGGAUCCUGUAAACAAGUGCAAGCACGGAUAUGAUCUCCUUGUGAGGUAUAAUUGGACAUUUGACAACCCUAGGCAUCGGUAUGCAUCUUGCAGUGAGGUAAACAAUAACUUGUUUCAAUUGCAAUAAACCUUACUUGUACUCUUGAUGUAAUGUUGUAAAUGGAAAAUUGUAUGAACGUAAUCAGGGUCUACAGCGUGAAGGGCUGAAAUGAGCGACACUUAUGUGGGUUGAUCCUGAAUGGGAUGGUAGGACUAAAGGUAUUCUAAUGAAGCUAAUGAAGAGGAAGGCAAAAGCUGAAGAGGAAGCAAGGUUGUGGAAGGAAGAAUGUGCAAAGGCUAACAUGAAGCUUGAAGCGACUACCACUGAGCUGCAAAAGGUGAAGGGACACCUGGAACAAGCC
RNAcentral lists this long non-coding RNA (559 nucleotides) under Setaria viridis. Its description in RNAcentral is "long non-coding RNA (SVIR_LNC005395)". Lineage: Eukaryota; Viridiplantae; Streptophyta; Magnoliopsida; Poales; Poaceae. The record is from RNAcentral.